CUUCCCUUGUACUUGCUCUCACUGCUGAAAUUUUAUAAAGCAGUAUUAUUAAUUGAAGCAAUUAGUGCUGGGGAUAUCAGCACAGCCACGACACAGGGCUGCAGCCGUGCAAGGCGAGGCACUCUCCUUGGCUUUCUUGGGACCCCUUUUUCCUCCCUUGCUCUGUCCCCUUCUGUGCCCUCCUCAACUCUCUGGUUUCUACCCUGCCCCCCACUUUCCCCUGUCUUUUCUUCUGGCUCUCUCUCAAUAUCCCCUGGUCUCUGAGAGACCCUGAGAACCCGAUACCUUUGCCAGGCUGCAAUCAUUCACCAUCUCUGACCACUCCCCAGCCUGGUGGACAGACAGACAGACAGACAGAUGUAAAGACUGUGUUCCUGUGGCUGACUGCUGCCUGGAGUCAUGGCCUGGCUGAAUUAGGAUGGAAGAGCAUCGUUCAUGGUUCUUAGGAAAUUUGCACUCCAGGCUGGAAUUCUAGGCCCUCCAGGUUUGGGGGAAUGGGGCUGAGCUAACAUCCAACCUAAGGACAAGACCAUCCCAGCUGAUAUCAAAGCAGUUUGGAAAGCAUGUGAGAAAACUCCAGAUAGAACAAGGUCCAUCCUGGGCCUCAUUUUCUUCAUCUGUAAUGUGAGGAAGAAAGAAGAGAGAGGCUGAGGAUGAACCUCUCUGACUUCAUUGUUUCAUCCUGGGAAUGCUGAGUGACCAGUCCCCUUCAGCCACAAGCUAUAGUCAAAGUUCCUGAGAGAAGCAAAGUUGCUGCGAUGUGUGAUGUUACCCUCCUGUAAAUGACAGAAUCCUGUUCAGAGGCAGCACCCCGCAGGAGUUAGCACCGCGCAGACGUGAUGCAGCAUUAUAACGAUGCCCUACUUACCAGUUCCUGUUUUUUAUGACUGAAUGGAUGCUUGGACCUGCUUGGGGCUAUAUAAAGGGUUUUCCUGCCCUUGCCACACUCAGCCUGUCUUUGCCAAGACAAUUCCCAGGAGGGACUUAUACCUGUGAACAGGAACUGACAAAGAAGCAACUCAGCCCAAAAGUUUCCCAGGCUCCUGGGCUGUAGUAUGACCACCCUGUGACUCAUUUGGAUAAAGUAGGGCUCAACAGAUAUUUAUCAAAUGAACAAAUGAAUGAGAGGGUGGGUGAAUGAGUGUUUCCAUGAGUGGGCAGCCACUCCCUCCGGGAAUGAGAGUGCUUCCUACUCCAGAAUGUUGAGUGCUUUCGAAGGAAGUCCUCUGGGGCUUUCCUGAUGAGUGCUCCAUGAAGAAGCCACAGUUGUCUCCUCAAUUCAUUGUGGGGAGUCUUAGAUUUCUUUGGAACCCUAAAUGCUAAACUUCCUACUGGUAUAUAAUAGCUGCUCAAUAAAUGUGUGUUGAUGCAUUGUUUCUCCGGUGUGAGAAACUGAAAGUGGAAAUAAAGACUAAAAUAAAUAAAUAAAUACAUACAUACAUACAUAAAUAUGUGUUGAAUUGAAGGGGGAGCUAGAAAGAGAAAGAAG
This 1489-nucleotide long non-coding RNA is filed under the name Heterocephalus glaber (naked mole-rat). RNAcentral describes it as "lncRNA (ENSHGLG00000038157.1)". The record is from RNAcentral. Lineage: Eukaryota; Metazoa; Chordata; Mammalia; Rodentia; Bathyergidae.